This 491-nucleotide ribosomal RNA is filed under the name uncultured bacterium. Its description in RNAcentral is "partial 16S ribosomal RNA". It matches the Rfam family "Bacterial small subunit ribosomal RNA", at positions 29 to 506 of the family's 1533-position model. The record is from RNAcentral.
AGUGAACGCUGGCGGUAGGCCUAACACAUGCAAGUCGAACGGCAGCACAGUAAGAGCUUGCUCUUACGGGUGGCGAGUGGCGGACGGGUGAGGAAUACAUCGGAAUCUACUUUUUCGUGGGGGAUAACGUAGGGAAACUUACGCUAAUACCGCAUACGACCUACGGGUGAAAGCAGGGGAUCUUCGGACCUUGCGCGAUUGAAUGAGCCGAUGUCGGAUUAGCUAGUUGGCGGGGUAAAGGCCCACCAAGGCGACGAUCCGUAGCUGGUCUGAGAGGAUGAUCAGCCACACUGGAACUGAGACACGGUCCAGACCCCUACGGGAGGCAGCAGUGGGGAAAUUUGGAAAAGGGGCGCAAGCCUGAUCCAGCCAUACCGGGGGGGUGAAGAAGGCCUUCGGGUUGUAAACCCCUUUUGUUGGGAAAAAAAAGCAGCAGGUUAAUACCCCGCUGUUCUGACGGAACCCAAAAAAGAAGCACCGGCUACCUUCUG